CCAACUCCUCAGUCCUCAUCACCACCAACACUUCGUCACUAUCUCAUCAAACCCCAAAUACGUUCUGCCGUCGCACCUCCACUCGAGAACCAUCGGUGUCGGCACUCCUCUUCCACACUCACCGCUCCUCUGAUCCCGUCGCUCACCGCUCCUCUGUUCCCGUCGCUCACCGCUCCUUUGAUCCCGUCGCUCACCAUCAGUCGUCUUCGCGGCGUGCUGACAUCGGUCGUCAGCAUCGUCCUCUGAUCCCGUCGCUCACCAUCGUGGUGGAGAAGAAACUGAUGACAGGAGAGGACCAUCAUUAAGAGCUAAGAUUGUAGGAAGUAAUCACAAGAACAAGAACAAGAAUAAAGCUAAGGUGGGGUUAGCAAGACGAAGCAAUCACAAGAACAAUUCUUUUGAAAAAUGUUUCAUCCAUCUCAGGCAUCCAUUUUCCAUAACCUCCACCCCGGAUCAUAAUUACCCAAGUGUUCAUAUUAAGAUACUUGGUGAUUGGACUGGAAAUCUGAAAGCCAAAUUCGUUAAGGUGAAUU
This is a long non-coding RNA of Arachis duranensis, 533 nucleotides long. RefSeq lists it as uncharacterized. The transcript has 3 exons. Lineage: Eukaryota; Viridiplantae; Streptophyta; Magnoliopsida; Fabales; Fabaceae. The record is from RefSeq and is a predicted model, not a curated record.